RNAcentral lists this ribosomal RNA (253 nucleotides) under uncultured bacterium. Its description in RNAcentral is "partial 16S ribosomal RNA". It matches the Rfam family "Bacterial small subunit ribosomal RNA", at positions 524 to 776 of the family's 1533-position model. The record is from RNAcentral.
UACGAAGGGGGCUAGCGUUGCUCGGAAUCACUGGGCGUAAAGCGCACGUAGGCGGAUUGCUAAGUCAGGGGUGAAAUCCUGGAGCUCAACUCCAGAACUGCCUUUGAUACUGGCAACCUUGAGUCCGGGAGAGGUGAGUGGAACUGCGAGUGUAGAGGUGAAAUUCGUAGAUAUUCGCAAGAACACCAGUGGCGAAGGCGACUACCUGGCCUGUUCUUGACGCUGAGGCGCGAAAGCUAGGGGAGCAAACGGG